This 1628-nucleotide ribosomal RNA is filed under the name human gut metagenome. RNAcentral describes it as "bacterial LSU rRNA". It matches the Rfam family "Bacterial large subunit ribosomal RNA", at positions 531 to 1999 of the family's 2925-position model. The record is from RNAcentral.
GAGGGGAGUGAAAUAGUACCUGAAACCGUGUGCCUGUAAGCCGUCAGAGCCUUGUGGGGUGAUGGCGUGCCUUUUGAAGAAUGAGCCUGCGAGUUAGUGAUACGUGGCGUGCUUAACCCGUGUGGGGUAUGCGUAGCGAAAGCGAGUCUGAAAUAUGGCGUUGGUCGCGUGUUCUAGACCCGAAGCGGGGUGAUCUACCCAUGGUCAGGUUGAAGCAGAGGUAAGACUGUGUGGAGGACCGAACCCACCAGGGUUGAAAACCUGGGGGAUGAACUGUGGGUAGGGGUGAAAGGCCAAUCAAACUCGGAGAUAGCUGGUUCUCCCCGAAAUGCAUUUAGGUGCAGCGUCGCGUGGUCCCUGGUGGAGGUAGAGCUACUGGAUGGCCGAUGGGCCCUAUGGGUUACUGACGUCAGCCAAACUCCGAAUGCCAUUAGGUGUAGCGCGGCAGUGAGACUGCGGGGGAUAAGCUUCGUAGUCGAGAGGGAAACAGCCCAGAUCAUCAGCUAAGGCCCCUAAGCGUGCGCUAAGUGGGAAAGGAUGUGGAGUCGCGGUGACAACCAGGAGGUUGGCUUAGAAGCAGCCAUCCUUGAAAGAGUGCGUAAUAGCUCACUGGUCAAGUGGUUCUGCGCCGACAAUGUAGCGGGGCUCAAGCGUACCGCCGAAGCUGUGGCAACGACACGUGAUGCUGGCGCCAGGAACUGGAGUGCUGGUGUGUUGUUGGGUAGGGGAGCGUCCUGCACGAGGUGAAGCCUGGAGGGAACUUCUGGUGGAUUGUGUGGGAGUGAGAAUGCAGGCAUGAGUAGCGAAUCUGCGGUGAGAAUCCGCAGCGCCGAUUGACUAAGGGUUCCAGGGCUAGGUUUAUCCGCCCUGGGUUAGUCGGGUCCUAAGGCGAGGCCGACAGGCGUAGUCGAUGGACAACCAGUUGAUAUUCUGGUACCGCGUUAUGACCGCCCAUGCUGAAGUCAUUGUGCUAACCAAUUUGCUCACACCACCUCUAAGCCUUCGGGUUUUUGGGUGUGUGUGGGUCUUGGGGCCCCGGUGAUUGUAGGCAAGCGUGUUAACAGGGGUGACGCAGACAGGUAGCUGCAGUGCGCCGAUGGUUGUGCGUAUUUAAGGUUGUGGCCCGCCCUUCAGGUAAAUCCGGGGGGCACGAUGGGUGAGGACUGAUGAGGGACACACGCGUGUGUGGACUUGUGGUGAUCCUAAGCUGCCGAGAAAAGCCUCGACGUGAGGGCAUAACGCGCCCGUACCCUAAACCGACUCAGGUGGUCAGGUAGAGUAUACCGAGGCGUUCGAGUGAAUCGUGGUUAAGGAACUCGGCAAAAUUCCUCCGUAACUUCGGGAUAAGGAGGACCCCGUGACUUCCCAGCGCCGUGCGCGCGGGUGGGGUUGUGGGGUCGCAGAGAAUAGGGAGAAGCGACUGUUUAUCAAAAACACAGGUGCGUGCGAAGCCGUAAGGCGAUGUAUACGCACUGACGCCUGCCCGGUGCUGGAAGGUUAAGAGGAACCGUCAACACCCCCCGGGGUGUGAAGCGGUGAAUUUAAGCCCCAGUAAACGGCGGUGGUAACUAUAACCAUCCUAAGGUAGCGAAAUUCCUUGUCGGGUAAGUUCCGACCUGCACGAAUGG